CACAUUAAUUAAUAUACUUAAGAGUAUGAUCAGUAAUUCUACCCUUUCAAUAUCAUUGUGGGGUGAAUAGAGGUGAAAACGGAUCGGAUAUGGUCGGAUAUUUGACAAAACAAUAUCCGCAUCCAUUUUUAUUUUUGGAUACUGAUUCAGAUGUAGAUAUAUGUCAGAUGCUAAAUUUUUAUUUCCAUAUUCUCUAAAAAAGGAUUCUGAUAUUGUAGGAUACUUUUUCGAAUUCGAAUAUGGAUCGGAUAUGUAUACAACUAAUAAUAUAUAUUAACAUGCACAUACACAAAAAAUUACUUUAUUUUCCUACCUUGUUUCCUUACUAUAUUUUUUCACAUAUAAAAUAUAUAAGGCUAAAUUACAGAACACCUCCUAUCAAAACCCGAUUUUUUACUUUCCCUCUCUGACAUUUAAAAAACCUACACUUUACCCCCCUAAAAAAUAAAAAAUGUUCAUAGGGGGGUACGGUGUCAAUAGUAUUGAUAAAAUAACCAAAAUGCCUUCUCCUUCUUCCUUUCCUACCCCAACCCUCCUUUAUCUGUAGAAGGGUAUUUUCGGUAUAAAAAAAUAUAUAAUAAUGGGAUAUAAACGAAACCCUAACGGAACACUGACGGCGGGGUCCAAAGUGAAUAUUUUUUAUUUUUUAGGAGGGCAAAGUGUAGGUUUUAAAUAACAGGAAGGGAAAGUGAAAAAUCAAAUUUUGAUAGGAGAUUUUCUAUAAUUUAGCCAAUAUAUAAUUUUAAUAUAUAACUCAUUAUAAAAUAAUCUAGUAGUACAAAAAAGCAUUUUAUUUUUCCACAACGUGUAUUAAUCAUCCCUCCGUACCUUGAUUGGCAAUAAAUUAGAGAAGUAGACAAGAAAGAUCUAUAGUAGAGGAAAGGAAUUUGGGCAGGGCGGGAGAGCGAAAUUGGGCAGAGUGGAUCCAAAAAUAUAAAGAAUAUAAAAAUAAUACUAAAGUCCAGAUAUCCACAUCCAUAUCCAUUUUUUUCAAAUAUCCGAAAAAAAUUUAAGUCUCUAAAACCAUAUUCGUAUCCGUAUCCGACCAGAUCCCGAUAUUUUCUAUCCGAAUCCGGCUAUUAUCGAAUACGAAUAUGGAUAUUUUCGAAUAAUAUCCUAUCCAUUUUCACACAUAGG
RNAcentral lists this long non-coding RNA (1137 nucleotides) under Ananas comosus (pineapple). Its description in RNAcentral is "long non-coding RNA (ACOM_LNC037996)". Lineage: Eukaryota; Viridiplantae; Streptophyta; Magnoliopsida; Poales; Bromeliaceae. The record is from RNAcentral.